RNAcentral lists this unclassified non-coding RNA (202 nucleotides) under Hevea brasiliensis (rubber tree). Lineage: Eukaryota; Viridiplantae; Streptophyta; Magnoliopsida; Malpighiales; Euphorbiaceae. The record is from RNAcentral.
UCUUUAGGUUUUUUCCUGGAAGCGUACGACUGCUUGUCAUAUUGAUAUUACUGGAUAAACCAUUAUGAGGUUGUCUUCUUUUACAAUGAAUGUUCUUGUACAUUUUAUCAACUUACUUUGGUGGGAGGGAUUAUGGAAAAGAAAAAAUCAUUCCUUGAAUUUGAUUUCCCAUGGAUUCCUUAAAAGUUUGGCUUGGUGAAGG